RNAcentral lists this ribosomal RNA (468 nucleotides) under uncultured bacterium. RNAcentral's name for it is "partial 16S ribosomal RNA". It matches the Rfam family "Bacterial small subunit ribosomal RNA", at positions 28 to 507 of the family's 1533-position model. The record is from RNAcentral.
GACGAACGCUGGCGGCGUGCUUAACACAUGCAAGUCGAACGGAAAGGCCCUGCUUAUGUGGGGUGCUCGAGUGGCGAAGGGGUGAGUAACACGCGAGUAACCUGCCCUUGACUGUGGGAUAACUUCAGGAAGCUGGGGCUAAUACCGGAUAGGAGCUCCUGCUGCAUGGUGGGGGUUGGAAAGUUUCGGCGGUUGGGGAUGGACUCGCGGCUUAUCAGCUUGUUGGAGGGGUAGUGGCUUAGCAAGGCUUGGAAGCGUAGCAUGGCUGAGAGGGUGACCGGCCACGUUGCGCCUGGAAUGCGACACAGACUCCUCCCGGACGCAGCGGUGGAGUAGAUUGCACAAUGCGAGGAAGCCUGAUGUGGCAACGCCGCGUGGGGGAUGACGUCCUUCGCGUUGUAUUCCACUGUCGCCUGUGACGAGGCGUGAGUGACGGUAAUGGGUAAAGAAGCACCGGCUAACUACGUG